UACGUAGGCAGCGAGCGUUGUUCGGAGUUACUGGGCGUAAAGCGUGCGUAGGCGGUUGUCUAAGUCUGGUGUGAAAUCUCCCGGCUCAACUGGGAGGGUGCGCCGGAAACUGGAUGACUGGAGUGCCGGAGAGGUAAGCGGAAUUCCUGGUGUAGCGGUGAAAUGCGUAGAGAUCAGGAGGAACACCUGUGGUGUAGACAGCUUACUGGACGGUGACUGACGCUGAGGCACGAAAGCGUGGGUAGCAAACAGG
This 253-nucleotide ribosomal RNA is filed under the name Acidobacterium sp. RNAcentral describes it as "partial 16S ribosomal RNA". It matches the Rfam family "Bacterial small subunit ribosomal RNA", at positions 524 to 776 of the family's 1533-position model. RNAcentral also lists the same sequence under 1 other name. Lineage: Bacteria; Pseudomonadati; Acidobacteriota; Terriglobia; Terriglobales; Acidobacteriaceae. The record is from RNAcentral.